Molecule: long non-coding RNA, 276 nt
Filed under: Vitis vinifera (wine grape)
Lineage: Eukaryota; Viridiplantae; Streptophyta; Magnoliopsida; Vitales; Vitaceae
Description: long non-coding RNA (VVIN_LNC006160)
Source: RNAcentral
ACAUUUUUUUAUUAUUUAUAUAUAUUAAAACAUAUAGCAUUUACCUAUUUUAAAAAUGUACCCAUUGAACUUAUUUACAUAGGGCUCUUCAAAUAUUUGCAAAGAAAACAUCUAAGAGGGAGCCAUCUUAGCAACUAGUGCAGGUGACAUCCAAAAAUUUUUCUUUACACAUUAGCUUAUGCAUUUGCACCAUUUAUAUAUGUGAGUACUAAUGUUAUUUUAUAAUUGAUCGAUUAGUGUCCAAGACAAGAAGGAGGGUUCGAAUGUGGCUACUUU